GGAAACUAUAAGCAGGUCUGAACAUGUUUCAAAGCUUGCAGGCAGAGGUUUUUGUGUAAUAAACUGCCAAAUUCUAUCAAGAAAACACUGACUUCAAAUGUGGAUGGCAAACUGAUGUCUGGAGAGGGGAAAGCAUUGAGCCAGAUUGACAAAGCAAGGUGGCUGCAUCUUAAAAAAUGGAUGCUGAUGCCAAAGACAAACAGCAAUUUCCAUGGAAGAAACACAAGGACAGAAGAAAAGGAAAAGCAAGACAAAAUAAAAGGAGAGCAUACAUCAGAUGAUAAAAAAAUGUUCAUAUCUGCUCUCGGAACAAAGUCCUUUCCUUCUUGCCCUCUUCCCAGCCCCGAC
This 348-nucleotide long non-coding RNA is filed under the name Felis catus (domestic cat). RNAcentral describes it as "lncRNA (ENSFCAG00000048360.1)". Lineage: Eukaryota; Metazoa; Chordata; Mammalia; Carnivora; Felidae. The record is from RNAcentral.